UGGGGAAUAUUGGACAAUGGGCGCAAGCCUGAUCCAGCCAUGCCGCGUGAGUGAUGAAGGCCUUAGGGUUGUAAAGCUCUUUCGCCGACGAAGAUAAUGACGGUAGUCGGAGAAGAAGCCCCGGCUAACUUCGUGCCAGCAGCCGCGGUAAUACGAAGGGGGCUAGCGUUGUUCGGAAUCACUGGGCGUAAAGCGCACGUAGGCGGAUUGUUAAGUCAGGGGUGAAAGCCUGGAGCUCAACUCCAGAACUGCCCUUGAUACUGGCAAUCUCGAGUCCGGAAGAGGUAAGUGGAACUGCGAGUGUAGAGGUGAAAUUCGUAGAUAUUCGCAAGAACACCAGUGGCGAAGGCGGCUUACUGGCCCGGUACUGACGCUGAGGUGCGAAAGCGUGGGGAGCAAAACAGGAUUAGAUACCCUGGUAGUCCACGCCGUAAACGAUGGAGGCUAGCCGUUGGCGAGCAUGCUCGUCAGUGGCGCAGCUAACGCAUUAAGCCUCCCGCCUGGGGAGUACGGUCGCAAGAUUAAAAACUC
This 531-nucleotide ribosomal RNA is filed under the name uncultured bacterium. Its description in RNAcentral is "partial 16S ribosomal RNA". It matches the Rfam family "Bacterial small subunit ribosomal RNA", at positions 355 to 902 of the family's 1533-position model. The record is from RNAcentral.